This 75-nucleotide transfer RNA is filed under the name bacterium. Its description in RNAcentral is "tRNA-Phe". It matches the Rfam family "tRNA". Rfam says of the family: Transfer RNA (tRNA) molecules are approximately 80 nucleotides in length. Their secondary structure includes four short double-helical elements and three loops (D, anti-codon, and T loops). RNAcentral also lists the same sequence under 3 other names. The record is from RNAcentral.
GCCGGGGUAGCUCAGUGGUAGAGCGUAAGCCUGAAGAGCUUAGCGUCGUUGGUUCGAUUCCGACCCCCGGCACCA